This 497-nucleotide ribosomal RNA is filed under the name uncultured bacterium. Its description in RNAcentral is "partial 16S ribosomal RNA". It matches the Rfam family "Bacterial small subunit ribosomal RNA", at positions 28 to 507 of the family's 1533-position model. The record is from RNAcentral.
GAUGAACGCUGGCGGCGUGCCUAAUACAUGCAAGUCGAGCGAACAGACGAGGAGCUUGCUCCUCUGACGUUAGCGGCUGACGGGUGAGUAACACGUUUAUAACCUACCUAUAUGACUGGUAUAACUUCGGGAAACCGGAGCUAAUACCGGAUAAUAUAUUUAACCGCAUGGUUCAAUAGUGAAAGACGGUUUUGCUGUCACUUAUAGAUGUAUCCGCGCCGCAUUAGCUAGUUGGUAAGGUAACGGCUUACCAAGGCAACGAUGCGUAGCCGACCUGAGAGGGUGAUCGGCCACACUGGAACUGAGACACGGUCCAGACUCCUACGGGAGGCAGCAGUAGGGAAUCUUCCGCAAUGGGCGAAAGCUUGACGGAGCAACGCCGCGUGAGUGAUGAAGGUCUUCGGAUCGUAAAACUCUGUUAUUAGGGAAGAACAAAUGUGUAAGUAACUAUGCACGUCUUGACGGUACCUAAUCAGAAAGCCACGGCUAACUACGUG